GGGGUAAGAGGCAAGGCCAGGGGUGAGAUCAUAGAUUUGCUUUUCCCGCUACGCCGCUGUGCUGCUAUCCCGUGAUGUUGAGCUUGUCGCUGAAACGCCACGCGACCCUCGCUGCAGAAGCUUGUGACUGCAGCUGGCGUGGUCCUGUGUCGGCAUGGUAUGCUACUUCGCCUCGUCAACCUCUUUCACGGGGAACGUCACAUGUACGCGACGGCGGCGGCGGCGUCCAUCCUGGCUGCGGGAACCGCUGUGCAGUUCUGGUGGUACGAUAUUGCCUGCCGCUGGAGCAAGUCGUGGCAGAAGUGGCACCAAGCUCUGGACCCGUCAACGGCGUGGCUGGGCGUCGCAGCGGCCAUGGUCAGCCUCGUGCCGCCGUUCCACAGCUAUGCCCACAGGUGUGCUUACGGGGAGGGGGCGGGCGUUCGGGGCAUGUAGGUUGCAAAGUACUCUAGCUGCUAUCUUACUCCGCAUCCCUUCAACCAUGUGCCUGCAGCUACGAGUGCCAGAAGACUUUCGGGCACCAAGGGCAAACGGGGGCAGGGCGGGGCACAGGAGAGAUCGUCGAAAUCUUCAACUCGCAGGUCGGGAAGCAGGGCAAGGUGCUGCGUUACACGUCGCCUGCGCACCGUGAGAGUGUUCUGGAGGAUGUGGGGCGCCGCUACUGCCGCCAGGUAAGGCUUUGUCGAGUGUCGAGGGUAGGCAGGCGGCAGGUUAGGCAGGCGCUCAUUCUGUGUGCCGUGAUGUGCAGGUCGAGCUUGGCCUGCCCGCUCGGGUUUACCGCAUGCGGUUGCGGGCCCAGGCAGCACAUGAUGCAGCGCAGGAUCGGAUUGAGACUCUGGAGGCCACGCUGACGCCGCAACAGGUGCGACUGGACUUCCCUGUAGACUCGUGUUACCUUGCUUACGGUUUCCAUGUGCCCAGCAGGUCGAGAUGGCAUGUGCCGGGCAUGCCGCUCAGCGCUCCCAGCAGCGGCAUGACCAGCCCAAACGACACGCCAACGCGGAUGCAGUGGCAGGCGAGCCAGGGUGGAAGGCAGUGUAUGCCCGCUGCCGCCUGGCGCUGAUGAAGCUGCAGCGUCUGGACACGGUAGACAACCCGGCCGACCCCGUGCCUCUCAGGUGCGCAAGCGGUGAAAGCCUUAUCUGCAUGCCUUACUUUCUUGCUUGGAUUGCAGUCGCUGAUGCCAUAUGUUGCGUGGGUGCAGCGUUCUGGUUGCCGGAGGUGACAAUCUGACGCUCCGACAGCGGCCUGCACUCAUCAAGCAGCUGGAGGAAGAGAAGAAGAAGCUGGAGCAGGAGCAUGCGGCGGCUGCUCCGCCACCACGCGAGUGGGAGGCGGACUCUGCUGCAUUCAAGGAGGCUGUCAGUGACCUGGCCGAGAGCGAGAUCAAGAAGAUCACCAGUGAAAUCGAGGUAGAGUGAUUGUGGUUGGGCAUGUGUAAGGCAGUCGGGGUAUAGGGCAGUGCCACGGCAGGCUGACUGUUGCGCUGCGGAAGUGUGCGCGGCGUUCACUAAUUUUGGGCUUCAUUGCAGGGCCUGGUGCUGGACUACAACAGCCUGAAGGUCAUAACGGAGAAGCUGGCGGGGAGGAAGAAGGAGCAGAGGUAUGCCAUCAAGGAGAAGCAGCGCGUGAAGGGGCAGCUUAGACAGCAGUGGGGCCGCUUGGCUGCCUGGUGCCGUGUGGACGCUGCAGGGCAGCAGGGACGGGAGGAGAAGGCACGCAACAAAAAGAUCUUGGAAGGGGGCUUGGCGGCGGUGCUUCGGGGGACGUUUCCAUGGGCCAGCGAUUCUGGGGCUGGAUCCAGCGGAGGGCGAGCAGUCGCUAGCCUUGUGCGCAGCUACAACCAGCGUGCUAGGGCGAAGGAGGAGCUGCGCUUGAUUGAGGCAGAGGUUGAGCGGGGCUGCGCCUACUACGAGCGCCGUGUGAGGAUUCUGAAAGCGGCGCAGGAAACAAGUGCGCCAGGCUUGGGGCUGCUGCUUAAGCCUCACCUUUCCCGCUGCGAGUUGAUGCUGAAAUCAUUUCAGGGACUGCAGCGCGGAGAUGUGCCGGACGACACUAGCCUUUCUGUGGAUACCGAGUAGGGUAGGCAUGCUGUUGUGCGCCGGCUGGCUUUGGUCGAGGUCGGCCGAUGGUGCUGUAAGUCGCAGAAUAGCAUUGAACAAGCAUACAAGUAAUGUUGGCAAGGCCGGCGGGGCCAGGCGGAGUAUUUGAGUUGGGCGGGUGUGCUCAGACAUGUCCGCUAGGGCGGGGGUUCGGGCGUGUCCCAGCCGGCACCCGGUUUGGUCGAGGUCGGCCGAUGGUGCUGUAAAUCGCAGAAUAGCAUUGAACAAGCAUACAAGUAAUGUUGGCAAGGCCGGCGGGGCCAGGCGGAGUAUUUGAGUUGGGCGGGUGUGCUCAGACAUGUCCGCUAGGGCGGGGUUGUGGCGGGUCGAGCUAUGGGCGGCUCCCCAGGGACCUUUUUGCACCGGGCUGGGGAGGGCAGAAAAGACCGAAAGCUCUAGGGGCUGGGGACCUAGGCAUCUCCCCAGGAACAAUUUGUAAUCAACCGCGAUGGCAGCACAGCUCCCCCGGGCCUCAAAAGCGUGCUGCCAUUGCCCGGCUUUCGCUCGCUGCCCAUCGCGCGCCCGGCACUCUCCUUCACUACCACUUGGCACCCCUCGCCAGCCAUAGUAAGCAGCCCCUGUACACAUAUGCACUAUACACUACCCCGCUACACAUGAUAUAGCUCCCCGGCACUAGUGGGGCCACCUCGACCAUGCUUAACAUGUCUGCGGCGACAACAUGAAAGAGUGGAAAGACAUCUACAAAAGUGACACAGUUGAAACCUCAUUAUUUAGGCGCAGUCGUGGUGGACGCAGGGGUGGCAUUGCAGCGGGCACUGGCGGCCGCCGUGGACGCAGCGAAGCGCAGCUAAGUGUAGGUGGUCAUUACACCGUCCACGAUCAUAAUGGUGUUGUAGAACAGGACGACGAGGAAGGAGCAGCCUACGUUCAACAUGCGGCGCCUCACACGCUCCCCGACGUUGAUAGCGACACCCUCAGCUCAGACCCCGCAGACAGCUCAGACGACGAUGGUGAGGGGGCCGGAGGCGCUGAGCCGAGGGGGCAGGAGACAAAAUAUCCGCUGCCAUACGAUAGCAGCGCUGUCGUGGAAGACUUCUUCCGCAGCGUCACAGCGGCUGAUAAGGUGUGCAGCGAACUGCGCACCGCGACCCAGAAGGUGCUGCAGUGCAGUGCGGACUUCGAGGCUGCCAGCACGGCGUGCCCUGUGUGUGGCAAGCCCGGAGAUCCCAAGGGCAUGCCCCCUUUCAAAGUCACAGUAGUGACCUGGGACCAGCCCGUGAGCAUUGAUGUGCCACACGUGACCUGCAGCAGCUGCAUGCGUGGGUACACCCUGCGGCCCACUGUGCUCGGCUGCCUGCCCGAUACCAUUGUAUCGUGGGAUUUGCUUCGGCAACGUGACGGCAAUGUCAUCCUCUGGUGGCAGACCAGCCUUCUACAGCAGUUCACCAGCCUACAAUACUACAACGGGCACCUGGGCAUGGACCGCUUUUGUGCGGCUCUCAUGGCCAACUGGCAGGAGAACGGCUGUGAUAGCCAGGGGCUUACGCUGACGCAGCUGAGGCAGCGCCUUAGUUCUACAUCGCAGCGGUACCGAUUUCUGCGCGGGCUAGUGGAGGACCUGCCGGAACAGCUUCCGGGCUGGCCCGCAGGAGCCCUCAACGCAUGCGCCUGCUGCGGUGAUGCCGAGGGUUGGCAUGGUACUGGCGCGGGCAGCAGCAGCGGCGGCGGCGGCGGCGGUGCUGCCGGUGGCGCGACCACGGCCGCAGCGCCCCUGGCGGAUCUGGCGCACAGGGCCCGGGGGCAGGAUGGGCCGGUGGCUGAGGCGGCGGCGCCAGACGCACCGAGCGCAGGUGCCGGCAUGGGCAGCAGCAGCGGCGGCGGCGGCGGCGGUGCUGCUGGCGAUGCGACCACGGCCGCCGCGCCUCUGGCGGAUCUGGCGCACAGGGCCCGGGGGCAGGACGGGCCGGUGGCUAAGGCGGCGGCGCCAGGCGCGCCCAGCGCAGGCGCCGGCAUGGGCAGCAGCAGCGGCGGCGGCGGCGGCGGUGCUGCCGGUGGCGCGACCACGGCCGCAGCGCCCCUGGCGGAUCUGGCGCACAGGGCCCGGGGGCAGGAUGGGCCGGUGGCUGAGGCGGCGGCGCCAGACGCACCGAGCGCAGGUGCCGGCAUGGGCAGCAGCAGCGGCGGCGGCGGCGGCGGUGCUGCUGGCGAUGCGACCACGGCCGCCGCGCCUCUGGCGGAUCUGGCGCACAGGGCCCGGGGGCAGGAUGGGCCGGUGGCUAAGGCGGCGGCGCCAGGCGCGCCCAGCGCAGGCGCCGGCAUGGGCAGCAGCAGCGGCGGCGGCGGCGGCGGUGCUGCCGGCGAUGCGACCACGGCCGCCGCGCCUCUGGCGGAUCUGGCGCACAGGGCCCGGGGGCAGGAUGGGCCGGUGGCUGAGGCGGCGGCGCCAGGCGCGCCGAGCGCAGGCGCCGGCAUGGGCAGCAGCAGCGGCGGCGGCGGCGGCGGUGCUGCCGGCGAUGCGACCACGGCCGCCGCGCCUCUGGCGGAUCUGGCGCACAGGGCCCGGGGGCAGGAUGGGCCGGUGGCUGAGGCGGCGGCGCCAGGCGCGCCGAGCGCAGGCGCCGGCAUGGGCAGCAGCAGCGGCGGCGGCGGCGGCGGUGCUGCCGGCAGCGGCGGCGCGAGCCCUUCACUUGGGUUCGCGUGGCGGCCAAUGCUGGCGGCCGCUGAGCCGGCUGGUCGAGGCCCUCCUAUCUUUCAUACUGGCGCGUUCGAUUGCAACUUCAAGCUAAGCCUGUUUAAGAAGAAGGGACUCACCCACAAGUACGGCCUCGACUACCGCCAACUGUCGCGCCGGCGGUACACCCUGGGCAAUGCAUACGUGAGGGGCUUUGAGCCGCCCAAGGGGUCUGCGGACGUAGGUCGCAAUGCGGACUGCUCCAGCUUCACCGCGGACAAGGUGCUGGCCAAGGAGGAGGCCGGGGUAAGAGGCAAGGCCAGGGGUGAGAUCAUAGAUUUGCUUUUCCCGCUACGCCGCUGUGCUGCUAUCCCGUGAUGUUGAGCUUGUCGCUGAAACGCCACGCGACCCUCGCUGCAGAAGCUUGUGACUGCAGCUGGCGUGGUCCUGUGUCGGCAUGGUAUGCUACUUCGCCUCGUCAACCUCUUUCACGGGGAACGUCACAUGUACGCGACGGCGGCGGCGGCGUCCAUCCUGGCUGCGGGAACCGCUGUGCAGUUCUGGUGGUACGAUAUUGCCUGCCGCUGGAGCAAGUCGUGGCAGAAGUGGCACCAAGCUCUGGACCCGUCAACGGCGUGGCUGGGCGUCGCAGCGGCCAUGGUCAGCCUCGUGCCGCCGUUCCACAGCUAUGCCCACAGGUGUGCUUACGGGGAGGGGGCGGGCGUUCGGGGCAUGUAGGUUGCAAAGUACUCUAGCUGCUAUCUUACUCCGCAUCCCUUCAACCAUGUGCCUGCAG
RNAcentral lists this long non-coding RNA (5530 nucleotides) under Chlamydomonas reinhardtii. RNAcentral's name for it is "long non-coding RNA (CREI_LNC001072)". The record is from RNAcentral. Lineage: Eukaryota; Viridiplantae; Chlorophyta; Chlorophyceae; Chlamydomonadales; Chlamydomonadaceae.